UUAUGGCCAUAUCACAUUGAAAUGCCAGUCCCCAUAUGAUCACUGAAGUUAAGGAACAUUGAGCCUGGUCAGUACCUAGAUGGGUGACCACUAGGAAAUGCCAGAUGCUGUAA
Acanthosepion pharaonis is the source of this 113-nucleotide non-coding RNA. Lineage: Eukaryota; Metazoa; Mollusca; Cephalopoda; Sepiida; Sepiidae. The record is from the annotation of a GenBank genome assembly.